GAUGAACGCUGGCGGCGUGCUUAAUACAUGCAAGUCGAGCGAACAGAUGAUGAUCUUGCUCCUCUGACGUUAGCCGCGGACGGGUGAGUCACACGUGUAUAACGUACCUAUAAGACUGGGAUAACUUCGGGAAACCGGCGCUAAUACCGUAUAAUCUAUUGCACCGCAUGGUUCGAUAGUGAGAUACGGCUUUUCUGUCUCUUCUAGCUGGAUCGGCGCGGCAUUAGCUAGUUGGUAGGGGCACGGCUUAUCACGGCUACGAUGCGUAGACGAACGGUGAGGGGGGUAGGCGACAUGAGAGCUGAGCCGGGGUCAAGAGGCCUGAGGGAGGGAGCAGUAGCGAAUGUGACGCAAUGGGCGAAAGCAUGACGGAGCAGCGCGGCGUGAGUGAUGAAGGUCUUCGGAUCGUAAAACUCGGUUAUUGGGGAAGAACAGAUGUGGAAGUAACUAUGCACGUAUUGACGGUACCUAGUCAGAAAGCCACGGCUAACUACGUG
RNAcentral lists this ribosomal RNA (497 nucleotides) under uncultured bacterium. RNAcentral describes it as "partial 16S ribosomal RNA". It matches the Rfam family "Bacterial small subunit ribosomal RNA", at positions 28 to 507 of the family's 1533-position model. The record is from RNAcentral.